Molecule: ribosomal RNA, 395 nt
Filed under: uncultured bacterium
Lineage: Bacteria
Description: bacterial SSU rRNA
Rfam family: Bacterial small subunit ribosomal RNA
Source: RNAcentral
AGCGAACGCUGGCGGCGUGCUUAACACAUGCAAGUCGAACGUGAAAUGUAGCAAUACAGAGUAAAGUGGCGUACGGGUGAGUAACACGUGGGUAAUCUACCAAAGUGUCUGGAAUAACCGAUCGAAAGGUUGGCUAAUACUGGAUAGUUCCAAGCUUGUUAUAAUGGCAAGAUUGGGAAAGGGAGCUGGCAACAGCCUUCGCAUUUUGAUGAGCUCGCGUCUGAUUAGCUAGUUGGUAAGGUAAUGGCUUACCAAGGCUGAGAUCAGUAGCUGGUCUGAGAGGAUGAUCAGCCACACUGGAACUGAACACGGUCCAGACUCCUACGGAGCAGCAGUGGGGAAUCUUGCGCAAUGGACGAAAGUCUGACGCAGCCACGCCGCGUGAGUGAAGAAGG